GAUGAACGCUGGCGGCGUGCUUAACACAUGCAAGUCGAACGAUGAAGCUCAGCUUGCUGGGUGGAUUAGUGGCGAACGGGUGAGUAACACGUGAGUAACCUGCCCUUAACUCUGGGAUAAGCCUGGGAAACUAGGUCUAAUACCGGAUAGGAGCGCCUACCGCAUGGUGGGUGUUGAAAAGAUUUAUCGGUUUUGGAUGGACUCGCGGCCUAUCAGCUUGUUGGUGAGGUAAUGGCUCACCAAGGCGACGACGGGUAGCCGGCCUGAGAGGGUGACCGGCCACACUGGGACUGAGACACGGCCCAGACUCCUACGGGAGGCAGCAGUGGGGAAUAUUGCACAAUGGGCGAAAGCCUGAUGCAGCGACGCCGCGUGAGGGAUGACGGCCUUCGGGUUGUAAACCUCUUUCAGUAGGGAAGAAGCGAAAGUGACGGUACCUGCAGAAGAAGCACCGGCUAACUACGUG
Molecule: ribosomal RNA, 466 nt
Filed under: uncultured bacterium
Lineage: Bacteria
Description: partial 16S ribosomal RNA
Rfam family: Bacterial small subunit ribosomal RNA
Source: RNAcentral